Molecule: long non-coding RNA, 258 nt
Filed under: Drosophila guanche
Lineage: Eukaryota; Metazoa; Arthropoda; Insecta; Diptera; Drosophilidae
Source: RNAcentral
GAACUAAACACAACUAAACUAGAGCAACAAUAGCUAAGCAAGCAAAAUUGUCAACGGCAGAAACAAGACAAAGCUAAAAUGAAACUAACUACGGGAGAGGAAGGCUAGUAUAAGAGAUUUAUGAAGAGGAAGGGAGUUAGUCGAGGAUAUAAUGUGAUAGAGGGAAUUAUAAUCCGAGCAUAAAACCCUAAAGGGCAUACACAUGAGCCGUAUUCUAAAAUCGGAGAACAAGCGAGAUAUAGAGAGUCUUCGUUAGGG